Molecule: long non-coding RNA, 2147 nt
Filed under: Androctonus crassicauda
Lineage: Eukaryota; Metazoa; Arthropoda; Arachnida; Scorpiones; Buthidae
Source: RNAcentral
UAUAUAUAUAUAUGUAUGUAACAGUUUUCUGUAUGGCUGUUGCCUUCAGUAACACAAAUGUGAUUGAAGUUUAUAAGCCAGAAAGAACAUUGAUGAGAAACAAGGAUUAUAUGAGGCAAGGAAAAAUCCUAGUCUUGCUUCCAAGUCAUUAUUGCGCAAACACCUGUCUCGAUAGAAAAUGAAAAAGGUGAAGAGACGAAAUUGAUUGAAGUUAUUGAUCAACUUCUGUCGGUUUUUCUGAUUGCAAAUUCUCCUUUUUCGCUUUUAUUUUUCGUUUAACGUAUAUACGUUGGCUUAGAAAUACUUUAACUUGCGACGUUAUAUUAAGUUACCCGUACAUUAAGGCGUGAAAUAAUAAUUCGGAACUGUUUGUUGACCGAAUAAGCGGAUUGUUUUUUAGAAAAGUGCAGCAGUUUUAUCGAAGGAAAAAAAAAUAAAAAAUAGUUUCUUUGGCUAUCUAUAGACGAUAAUCUUAUCUGUUUUACGCUAAAAUGAUUCGUAAUUGUACAAUUGUAAAGUUGAAGUUAAAGUUUAUAUAAACUGUGACAAAUUACAAGUGAUGCGCAACCGGACAUCUGCACUUAAGUGGAAAGAUAACUUUAACAUUGUUAUUGACUUGUACUCCUGUAGAUCGAAUAGGUAAUCAGUUUUGGCGAUAAAGGCAACUAGAACAACUGCAGAAAUAAAGCCAACAGUGGAGCAACUUAGAAUGUAAGCGUUUAGAGUAAAACCCAACGGUCCCGACCGUCUCUUAACUCACGAAAUAGUUGGAAUCGAUUGAUUAGUUGAUAGUGCCAAGCUGAACCCUCCUGGCGACAAGACUUGAGGUAGGACAUCUAAACGAAGUCGAGGAAGUUAUUUGUCAUGUGACAUUAGUCGGACAGGCACGUGACACUACUGUAGACUGGGAUCUGUUUGGUCGACGUGCUCAGAAACGUCUUCGAUGCACCGUGCAAAGGAUGAAGACACUGUCUUGAUCCACCUUCAAAUUCCUUUUCCGACUCUAGAAAAUUAAGUUCUUACCAUGGUCAUUACAACGGUCACACACGCUCAACUAUCACUCUUUUUUCUGAUGAACUUUCUUUGGCUUCUUUUUUUUUUUUUAUCUUUCAUAAAGUGAAAAAGUGGAAAUUGUAUCGGGGAAUUUCUGUAAAACGUGUAAUAAUAAAAUAUUUCAUUAAAUGAAUGAAUAGGGCAAGUGGAAUGACGUGUAGGUAAGAAUUACAAGUCGGGAUAUUUCGCUUUAAAAAUAAUAUUGGUGAGUGCAUGUGUGGUGUUCUUGCCCAAGCGCUUCAUAUCAUCACCGAUUGCCCAAUACGUUUAAUCCACUUAAUACUGUAUCCAGUCAUCCGGCAACUUCGCAUCACUUCCUACCGUGAGUGAACUUAACUAACGCUAUCGGUAAUUGCUAUUCCGGAAUGAAUCAGUACAGUAACUAGACAUCCCCGAGCGGGUUCCGGUCUUUCCGACUCCCAGAAGUGAGGAGUUCAUGAGGCAGAAGGAAAACAUAGAUUUUCUGAGCACCCAAAUGGCAACGCUAAUCAGAGUUUAUUGUAGUUGGAGCUAGAGGAAAGACGCUCAUAUAUUCAUGGUGAGUUUGGAGUCGAAUGCAUUCAUAAGGUUGAUGCAUUUGUCCGGGUUGUCUCCGCCCCUACUGGAAUGGUGCGGGGGAGACGACUCUGCAGUUUGCAUUCGGACAAUUGUGAUGUAAAUGCCGGUUUGGGGAUGGGGAGUGCGACAAGUAAAAGUGACAAGUAGUAUAGCAUCCAUCAGUCAUGUGGUGGCCAUUAGCAUGCGGGACGGUGUUACUAUGAAUAGGUCUUUCCACCGACAGCGCUGCUGUCUGUUUGUCGCCUGUGCAACUGCUUGGAGGUUUUUUCUUCGUUACACACGUUCUCUCGCACAGUCUCUACGACGUUCUUGUUUGAGAUCCCCCCGUUCCUUUUAAGUGAAUUUGAAAUGUCAGUCUCGCUACUCCGCCCUCCCCAACUGUAACUGUGCCACAAAAGACCACUUCAGUUCGCUCUUUUCUGACUGGUUGACGGUCUGCACAUCAGAACGUUUGCCUUUCUAAGAAACACUCUACUCAGUUUAAUUUUGUGUGAUUUGUUUAUACUUUACAAAUUGCUGCUAGAUUAUUAUUAUUG